CCCUUAGAUGUUCUGGGCCGCACGCGUGCUACACUGAGUGGAUCAGCGGGUCAGGUUGCGCGAAAGUGUUUCCUAAUCUUUAGAUCCGCUCGUGAUGGGGAUUGACGGUUGCAAUUUUCCGUCAUGAACGAGGAAUACCUUGUAAGCGCGGGUCAUCAUCCCGCGCUGAAUACGUCCCUGCCCUUUGUACACACCGCCCGUCGCUCCUACCGAUUGAGUGGUCCGGUGAGGCUUUGGGAUCUGAGCGGAAAGAGCGUUUCGCUGUUUCUGCCCGGAAAACUCAGUCGAACCUUAUCAUUUAGAGGAAGGAGAAGUCGUAACA
RNAcentral lists this ribosomal RNA (322 nucleotides) under uncultured eukaryote. RNAcentral's name for it is "partial 18S ribosomal RNA". It matches the Rfam family "Eukaryotic small subunit ribosomal RNA", at positions 1470 to 1796 of the family's 1831-position model. The record is from RNAcentral.